UAACGGAGCUUCAAUAUUCUUUAUCUGC
Molecule: non-coding RNA, 28 nt
Filed under: Cricetulus griseus (Chinese hamster)
Lineage: Eukaryota; Metazoa; Chordata; Mammalia; Rodentia; Cricetidae
Source: RNAcentral